RNAcentral lists this ribosomal RNA (406 nucleotides) under uncultured bacterium. RNAcentral describes it as "partial 16S ribosomal RNA". It matches the Rfam family "Bacterial small subunit ribosomal RNA", at positions 28 to 526 of the family's 1533-position model. The record is from RNAcentral.
GAUGAACGCUAGCUACAGGCUUAACACAUGCAAGUCGAGGGACCGGCGCCCGGGUGCGUACCCCGUAUCCAACCUGCCCUUUACUCGGGGAUAGCCUUUCGACAGACAGAUUAAUACCCGAUAUAAAGGAUGGGGAUGCGUUCCUUUAGGUUGUUGGUGAGGUAACGGCACACAAAGCCUUCGAUGGAUAGGGGUUCUGAGAGGAAGGUCCCACACAUGGGAACUGAGAAACGGUCCAAACUCCGACGGGAGGAAGAAGUGAGGAAUAUUGGGCAAUGGGCGUUAGACUGAACCAGCCAAGUAGCGUGAAGGAUGAAGGCGUAGGGGUCGUAAACGUAUUUUAUAUAAGAAUAUGUAUUAUAUGAAUAAGGAUCGGCUAACUCCGUGCCAGCAGCCGCGGUAAUUC